UAGGGAAUCUUCGGCAAUGGACGGAAGUCUGACCGAGCAACGCCGCGUGAGUGAAGAAGGUUUUCGGAUCGUAAAGCUCUGUUGUAAGAGAAGAACGAGUGUGAGAGUGGAAAGUUCACACUGUGACGGUAUCUUACCAGAAAGGGACGGCUAACUACGUGCCAGCAGCCGCGGUAAUACGUAGGUCCCGAGCGUUGUCCGGAUUUAUUGGGCGUAAAGCGAGCGCAGGCGGUUAGAUAAGUCUGAAGUUAAAGGCUGUGGCUUAACCAUAGUAGGCUUUGGAAACUGUUUAACUUGAGUGCAAGAGGGGAGAGUGGAAUUCCAUGUGUAGCGGUGAAAUGCGUAGAUAUAUGGAGGAGCACCGGUGGCGAAAGCGGCUCUCUGGCUUGUAACUGACGCUGAGGCUCGAAAGCGUGGGGAGCAAACAGGAUUAGAUACCCUGGUAGUCCACGCUGUAAACGAUGAGUGCUAGGUGUUAGACCCUUUCCGGGGUUUAGUGCCGUAGCUAACGCAUUAAGCACUCCGCCUGGGGAGUACGACCGCAAGGUU
Molecule: ribosomal RNA, 549 nt
Filed under: uncultured bacterium
Lineage: Bacteria
Description: bacterial SSU rRNA
Rfam family: Bacterial small subunit ribosomal RNA
Source: RNAcentral